RNAcentral lists this long non-coding RNA (425 nucleotides) under Theobroma cacao (cacao). RNAcentral's name for it is "long non-coding RNA (TCAC_LNC002169)". Lineage: Eukaryota; Viridiplantae; Streptophyta; Magnoliopsida; Malvales; Malvaceae. The record is from RNAcentral.
CUUCUGCCUAUGCUUUCAGAUUUGUUGGUGAGUGGCUGAACUGGCUGUACACUGAUGUGACCCAAAGAUUGCAAGCCAAUGAUUUCUCCACGUUAUCUGAGGCUCAUGCAUGUACUGCAGGGUUAAAGUCUCUUACUACUACUGCAACUGCGGUAUGUCGCUGUUACUAAUCUUCACCCCUCUUCCUUCUCCUAAAUAUAUUGAUUAUUUUUCCACUCUGUCAAAGAUUUCUGUAGCUAAUAUAUUUUGGUUGGCCAGUUAUUUUGUAUUAUGUUGCUUCUAUCAGCAUUUUGAUGGCAUAAAUGAUCUCUCUUAACUAUUAAAAAUUUUGGCAUCCAUCACAAAAUAACAUAACACCUUAAUUUUUUGCAGGAUGCUAUUGAAGAAUGCCGAAAAUUAUGUGGUGGCCAUGGUUACCUUUCUAG